RNAcentral lists this ribosomal RNA (367 nucleotides) under Tylopilus sp. 112-417. RNAcentral describes it as "eukaryotic LSU rRNA". The stretch from base 1 to 106 matches the Rfam family "5.8S ribosomal RNA", at positions 50 to 154 of the family's 154-position model. Lineage: Eukaryota; Fungi; Basidiomycota; Agaricomycetes; Boletales; Boletaceae. The record is from RNAcentral.
GAAUUGCGAUAAGUAAUGUGAAUUGCAGAUUUUCAGUGAAUCAUCGAAUCUUUGAACGCACCUUGCGCUCCUUGGUAUUCCGAGGAGCAUGCCUGUUUGAGUGUCAUUGAAUUCUCAACCAUGUCUGGAUUCACUUCUAGGCAUGGCUUGGAGUUUGGGAGUUGCUGGCGUCAAGUCAGCUCUUCCGAAAUAUAUUAGCGACGGACGAGCAUGGUCCUGACGUGCACGGCCUUCCGACGUGAUAAUGAUCGUCGUGGCUGGAGCGGGUUCGGGACGGGUUGCAUCUUCAUGGUCCAUUUCGCUUCCAACUCCCCCCAUAAUCUGAACGCUUGACCUCAAAUCAGGUAGGACUACCCGCUGAACUUAA